RNAcentral lists this ribosomal RNA (253 nucleotides) under uncultured bacterium. Its description in RNAcentral is "partial 16S ribosomal RNA". It matches the Rfam family "Bacterial small subunit ribosomal RNA", at positions 524 to 776 of the family's 1533-position model. The record is from RNAcentral.
UACAGAGGGGGCAAGCGUUAUUCGGAAUUAUUGGGCGUAAAGGGCGCGUAGGCGGCCUGACAAGUGGAAGGUGAAAUCCCUCGGCUUAACCGAGGAACUGCCCUCCAAACUGUUUGGCUUGAGACCGGGAGAGGUGAGUGGAAUUCCCAGUGUAGCGGUGAAAUGCGUAGAUAUUCGGAAGAACACCAGUGGCGAAGGCGGCUCACUGGACAUGUAUUGACGCUGAGGUGCGAAAGCGUGGGGAGCAAACAGG